CCUACGGGAGGCAGCAGUGGGGAAUUUUGGACAAUGGGCGCAAGCCUGAUCCAGCAAUGCCGCGUGAGUGAAGAAGGCCUUCGGGUUGUAAAGCUCUUUUGUCAGGGAAGAAACGGCUGAGGCUAAUAUCCUCGGCUAAUGACGGUACCUGAAGAAUAAGCACCGGCUAACUACGCGCCAGCAGCCGCGGUAAUACGUAGGGUGCAAGCGUUAAUCGGAAUUACUGGGCGUAAAGCGUGCGCAGGCGGUUUUGUAAGUCUGUCGUGAAAGCCCCGGGCUUAACCUGGGAAUUGCGAUGGAGACUGCAAGGCUUGAAUCUGGCAGAGGGGGGUAGAAUUCCACGUGUAGCAGUGAAAUGCGUAGAGAUGUGGAGGAACACCGAUGGCGAAGGCAGCCCCCUGGGUCAAGAUUGACGCUCAUGCACGAAAGCGUGGGGAGCAAACAGGAUUAGAUACCCUGGUAGUCCACGCCCUAAACGAUGUCUACUAGUUGUCGGGUCUUAAUUGACUUGGUAACGCAGCUAACGCGUGAAGUAGACCGCCUGGGGGNGGUACGGUCGCGAGAGUUAAACGUACGAAAGAAGUUAGACGGCGUGAGACGUAGCCGACGGACGACGACGAGGGGAGGAGG
This 630-nucleotide ribosomal RNA is filed under the name uncultured bacterium. Its description in RNAcentral is "bacterial SSU rRNA". The stretch from base 1 to 542 matches the Rfam family "Bacterial small subunit ribosomal RNA", at positions 338 to 873 of the family's 1533-position model. The record is from RNAcentral.